This is a small nuclear RNA of Artibeus jamaicensis (Jamaican fruit-eating bat), 104 nucleotides long. The record is from RefSeq and is a predicted model, not a curated record. Lineage: Eukaryota; Metazoa; Chordata; Mammalia; Chiroptera; Phyllostomidae.
GUGCUCACUUCAGCAACACACACACUAAUGUUGGAACAAUACAGAAAUUAGCACAGCCCCUGCACAAAGAUGGCAUGCAAAAUCAUGAAGCCAAAAAAAAAUAC